CAGCCGUAAACUAUGCGCGUUAGGUGUGCUGGUGACCACGUGUCACCGGGGUGCCGAAGGGAAACCGUGAAACGUGCCGCCUGGGAAGUACGGUCGCAAGGCUGAAACUUAAAGGAAUUGGCGGGGGAGCACCACAACAGGUGGAGCCUGCGGUUUAAUUGGACUCAACGCCGGAAAUCUCACCGGAUAGGACAGACAAAUGAUAGUCGGGCUGAAGACUCUACUUGAUGAUCUGAGAGGUGGUGCAUGGCGUCAGUGACU
RNAcentral lists this ribosomal RNA (261 nucleotides) under uncultured archaeon. RNAcentral's name for it is "partial 16S ribosomal RNA". It matches the Rfam family "Archaeal small subunit ribosomal RNA", at positions 748 to 1008 of the family's 1478-position model. The record is from RNAcentral.